This 229-nucleotide ribosomal RNA is filed under the name uncultured bacterium. Its description in RNAcentral is "partial 16S ribosomal RNA". It matches the Rfam family "Bacterial small subunit ribosomal RNA", at positions 568 to 796 of the family's 1533-position model. The record is from RNAcentral.
UGCGUAGGCGGGCUAGUAAGUCAGUGGUGAAAUCCUGCAGCUUAACUGUAGAACUGCCAUUGAUACUGUUAGUCUUGAAUACAGUUGAGGUAAGCGGAAUGUGUAAUGUAGCGGUGAAAUGCUUAGAUAUUACACAGAACACCGAUUGCGUAGGCAGCUUGCUAAACUGUGAUUGACGCUGAGGCACGAAAGCGUGGGGAGCGAACAGGAUUAGAUACCCUGGUAGUCC